CUGUAACUCAAGAAGCUGCAUCGAUGAAAUGUUGUAUGCCUUCUCGAUGGAAAUCUUGGGGUCCAAGCUGACGAACACACGUCGGGUCAGGAUCCUCUUCUCUGUCAAGAUGAACCCUGGUGUUUCUUGAAUCAGGAUGCCGGAGGAUGGUCCCAUCUCUGCAAUCGGGUCGGUCCGUAGCUCUUGGCACAGGAGCAGUACGAUCCAGAAACACGCCACAUCCUUCUUGGACAUCUUUCGACAGUCACGGAACAGAAACUCGUUUCAGACUUAUCUACUAAUGAUUCAAGGUUUGUUAAGCAUACAAACUUAUAACAGUGUGAUAUCACUUGGCCUAGGACAACACAUUUUUACGAUUCAUCAACAUAUGUAUUCUGUCUAAUUCUAUUUUUAUAACUUCAUCCCUCACUACAUUUAUUACUGACUCCUCAGCAAUAUGCCUAUAGCAGUUAAACAAGCUAGUAACCUGCUUAGAAAAUUUAGUUAUUGGAUGGCAAGGAAAUGGUUAAUGACAUGAACGUACAUGAGAUCAUGGCACAUCACAACAUUUCACAUCAUACUAUACCACGUGAAUCAAGCAUUCAUCCAGGUUAGUCGUUCA
Pelobates cultripes (western spadefoot toad) is the source of this 601-nucleotide non-coding RNA. The record is from the annotation of a GenBank genome assembly. Lineage: Eukaryota; Metazoa; Chordata; Amphibia; Anura; Pelobatidae.